This 440-nucleotide ribosomal RNA is filed under the name uncultured bacterium. Its description in RNAcentral is "partial 16S ribosomal RNA". It matches the Rfam family "Bacterial small subunit ribosomal RNA", at positions 338 to 795 of the family's 1533-position model. The record is from RNAcentral.
CCUACGGGUGGCAGCAGUGGGGGAUAUUGCACAAUGGGGGGAACCCUGAUGCAGCGACGCCGCGUGGGGGAAGAAGCGCCUCGGCGCGUAAAGCCCUGUCAGCAGGGAAGAAAAUGACGGUACCUGAAGAAGAAGCCCCGGACAACUACGUGCCAGCAGCCGCGGCAAUACGUAGGCGGCAAGCGUUAUCCGGAUUUACUGGGCGUAGAGGGGGCGGAGACGGCGGUGGAAGCCAGGAGUGAAAGCCCGGGGCCCAACCCCGGGACUGCCCUUGGAACUGCGUGGCUGGAGUGCAGGUGGGGCAGGCGGAAUUCCUGGUGUAGCGGUGAAAUGCUUAGAUAUCAGGAGGAACACCGGUGGCGAAGGCAGCCUGCUGAACUGCAACUGACGUUGAGGCCCGAAAGCGUGGGGAGCAAACAGGAUUAGAUACCCGAGUAGUC